GACGAACGCUGGCGGCGUGCUUAACACAUGCAAGUCGAACGGAAAGGCCCUGCUUUUGUGGGGUGCUCGAGUGGCGAACGGGUGAGUAACACGUGAGUAACCUGCCCUUGACUUUGGGAUAACUUCAGGAAACUGGGGCUAAUAACGGAUAGGAGCUCCUGCUGCAUGGUGGGGGUUGGAAAGUUUCGGCGGUUGGGGAUGGACUCGCGGCUUAUCAGCUUGUUGGUGGGGUAGUGGCUUACCAAGGCUUUGCCGGGUAGCCGGCCUGAGAGGGUGACCGGCCACAUUGGGACUGAGAUACGGCCCAGACUCCUACGGGAGGCAGCAGUGGGGAAUAGUGCACAAUGGGCGGAAGCCUGAUGCAGCAACGCCGCGUGCGGGAUGACGGCCUUCGGGUUGUAAACCGCUUUCGCCUGUGACGAAGCGUGAGUGACGGUAAUGGGUAAAGAAGCACCGGCUAACUACGUG
Molecule: ribosomal RNA, 468 nt
Filed under: uncultured bacterium
Lineage: Bacteria
Description: partial 16S ribosomal RNA
Rfam family: Bacterial small subunit ribosomal RNA
Source: RNAcentral